CCCUAGUAGCGGCGAGCGAAGCGGGAAGAGCUCAAAUUUAUAAUCUGGCACCUUCGGUGUCCGAGUUGUAAUCUCUAGAAGUGUUUUCCGCGUUGGACCGCACACAAGUCUGUUGGAAUACAGCGGCACAGUGGUGAUACCCCCGUACACGGUGCGGACGCCCAGCGCUUUGUGAUACACUUUCAAUGAGUCGAGUUGUUUGGGAAUGCAGCUCAAAUUGGGUGGUAAAUUCCAUCUAAAGCUAAAUAUUGGCGAGAGACCGAUAGCGAACAAGUACCGUGAGGGAAAGAUGAAAAGCACUUUGGAAAGAGAGUUAACAGUACGUGAAAUUGUUGGAAGGGAAACGCUUGAAGUCAGACUUGCUUGCCGGAGCUUGCUUCGGUUUGCAGGCCAGCAUCAGUUUUCCGGGGUGGAUAAUGGUGGGUUUGAAGGUAGCAGCCUCGGCUGUGUUAUAGCUUUCCACUGGAUACAUCCUGGGGGACUGAGGAACGCAACGUGCUUUUUGCGAAGGUUUCGACCUUUUCACGCUUACGAUGCNGUGUAAUGACUUUAAACGACCCGUCU
RNAcentral lists this ribosomal RNA (564 nucleotides) under Rhodotorula kratochvilovae. Its description in RNAcentral is "eukaryotic LSU rRNA". It matches the Rfam family "Eukaryotic large subunit ribosomal RNA", at positions 78 to 654 of the family's 3401-position model. The record is from RNAcentral. Lineage: Eukaryota; Fungi; Basidiomycota; Microbotryomycetes; Sporidiobolales; Sporidiobolaceae.